ACGGGAGGCAGCAGUGGGGGAUAUUGCACAAUGGGGGAAACCCUGAUGCAGCAAUGCCGCGUGAGGGAAGAAGGUCUUCGGAUUGUAAACCUAAGUAGACAGGGACGAUAAUGACGGUACCUGUAAAGUAAGCUCCGGCUAACUACGUGCCAGCAGCCGCGGUAAUACGUAGGGAGCGAGCGUUGUCCGGAUUUACUGGGUGUAAAGGGUGCGUAGGCGGGUCAGCAAGUCAGGCGUGAAAUACCGAGGCUUAACUUCGGAGCUGCGCUUGAAACUGUCGAUCUUGAGUGAAGUAGAGGCAAGCGGAAUUCCUAGUGUAGCGGUGAAAUGCGUAGAUAUUAGGAGGAACACCAGUGGCGAAGGCGGCUUGCUGGGCUUUAACUGACGCUGAAGCACGAAAGUAUGGGGAGCAAACAGGAUUAGAUACCCUGGUA
Molecule: ribosomal RNA, 434 nt
Filed under: uncultured Oscillospiraceae bacterium
Lineage: Bacteria; Bacillati; Bacillota; Clostridia; Eubacteriales; Oscillospiraceae
Description: partial 16S ribosomal RNA
Rfam family: Bacterial small subunit ribosomal RNA
Source: RNAcentral